RNAcentral lists this ribosomal RNA (253 nucleotides) under uncultured bacterium. RNAcentral's name for it is "partial 16S ribosomal RNA". It matches the Rfam family "Bacterial small subunit ribosomal RNA", at positions 524 to 776 of the family's 1533-position model. The record is from RNAcentral.
UACGGAGGGUGCGAGCGUUGUCCGGAAUCACUGGGCGUAAAGGGCGCGUAGGCGGGUGCUCAAGUCUGUGGUGAAAUCCUCCGGCUCAACCGGAGAACUGCCAUGGAUACUGGGUGCCUCGAGGGUGGUAGGGGUAUGCGGAACUAUCGGUGGAGCGGUGAAAUGCGUUGAUAUCGAUAGGAACUCCGGUGGCGAAGGCGGCAUACUGGACCACUUCUGACGCUGAGGCGCGAAAGCCAGGGGAGCAAACGGG